AAACGACUUUCCUCUAUCCCCA
This 22-nucleotide transfer RNA is filed under the name Conicosia elongata. RNAcentral describes it as "partial tRNA-Leu". Lineage: Eukaryota; Viridiplantae; Streptophyta; Magnoliopsida; Caryophyllales; Aizoaceae. The record is from RNAcentral.